Molecule: non-coding RNA, 108 nt
Filed under: Burkholderia latens
Lineage: Bacteria; Pseudomonadati; Pseudomonadota; Betaproteobacteria; Burkholderiales; Burkholderiaceae
Description: Fluoride sequence
Rfam family: Fluoride riboswitch aptamer (crcB RNA motif)
Source: RNAcentral
GCCGCCUGCGGAGAUGGCAUGCCUCCCUGCGGUCGAGUCCGGCGCGUCGCGCGCGCGGUCUUCGGCCCUCAACCGCCGGUUCGCCCGGCUGAUGAUGCCUGCGUGUUC